This 201-nucleotide unclassified non-coding RNA is filed under the name fungal sp. RNAcentral describes it as "partial internal transcribed spacer region". The stretch from base 1 to 46 matches the Rfam family "Eukaryotic small subunit ribosomal RNA", at positions 1786 to 1831 of the family's 1831-position model. Lineage: Eukaryota; Fungi. The record is from RNAcentral.
AAGUCGUAACAAGGUAUCCGUAGGUGAACCUGCGGAUGGAUCAUUACCAAAGGAUUUUAUCCCAAGGUCUUGUGAACUGUUUUGAACACCACGGUCAGAGGUCUCCUUGUGGAUUUCUGGCUGUACACUAAACCUUUAAACCUCAACUUACAUCAAAAACAUAAACAAUUACAACUUUUAGCAAUGGAUCUCUUGGCUCUC